RNAcentral lists this long non-coding RNA (523 nucleotides) under Physcomitrium patens. RNAcentral describes it as "long non-coding RNA (PPAT_LNC001806)". The record is from RNAcentral. Lineage: Eukaryota; Viridiplantae; Streptophyta; Bryopsida; Funariales; Funariaceae.
AAUAGGAAUUUUUAAAGAAAUAUUAGAAAGAACACAAAUGUCAUUCAAAUACAUUUCAAUUCAAUCUAAAUUUAAUUCUAGUUAAAAUCCUAUUGAACUUCAUUCAAACUUUAAGCCAAACUAAUUGAAUCUUAAACCCUAAUAAAAUCCUAAGCCCUAAACCUUAAACCCUAACUAAAUCUUAAACCAAAUCCUAAUCCAAACCCUAAAUCCUAAAUCAAAUCCUAAACAAAUCCUAAAUCCUAAAUCAAAUCCUAACCAAACCCUAAACCAAAUCCUAAUCCAAAUCCUAAUCCUAACCCUAAAACCUAAACCAAAUCCUAACCAAAUCCUAACCAAACCCUAAACCCUAAAUCAAAUCCUAUCCAAAUCCUAAACCCUAAAUAAAACCCUAAUCCAAAUCCUAAACCCUAAACCAAAUCCUAUUCCAAAUCCUAAACCCUAAAUAAAACCCUAAUCCAAAUCCUAAACCCUAAACCAAACCCUAGUCCAAAUCCUAAACCCCAAACCAAAUCCUAACCAA